CCUACGGGAGUCAGCAGUGAGGAAUAUUGGUCAAUGGACGAGAGUCUGAACCAGCCAAGUAGCGUGAAGGAUGACUGCCCUAUGGGUUGUAAACUUCUUUUAUAUGGGAAUAAAAUGUUCCACGUGUGGGAUUUUGUAUGUACCAUAUGAAUAAGGAUCGGCUAACUCCGUGCCAGCAGCCGCGGUAAUACGGAGGAUCCGAGCGUUAUCCGGAUUUAUUGGGGUUAAAGGGAGCGUAGGUGGAUUGUUAAGUCAGUUGUGAAAGUUUGCGGCUCAACCGUAAAAUUGCAGUUGAAACUGGCAGUCUUGAGUACAGUAGAGGUGGGCGGAAUUCGUGGUGUAGCGGUGAAAUGCUUAGAUAUCACGAAGAACUCCGAUUGCGAAGGCAGUUCACUGGACUGCAACUGACACUGAGGCUCGAAAGUGUGGGUAUCAAACAGGAUUAGAUACCCGAGUAGUC
Molecule: ribosomal RNA, 460 nt
Filed under: uncultured bacterium
Lineage: Bacteria
Description: partial 16S ribosomal RNA
Rfam family: Bacterial small subunit ribosomal RNA
Source: RNAcentral